UAUAGGCUAAUUAAGAGCAUAUGGGGGAUUCCUAGGCUCUCAGAGGCGAUGAAGGACGUGAUAAGCUGCGAUAAGCUACGGUUAGUGGCACAUACACUUUAACCCGUAGAUUUCCGAAUGGGGAAACCUAAUAGAUUGAAGAUCUAUUGCACCGAAAGGUGGGCAAACCCGGAGAACUGAAACAUCUAAGUACCCGGAGGAGAAGAAAACAAUUGUGAUUCCAUUAGUAGUGGCGAGCGAAAGUGGAACAGCCCAAACUAUUUAUGUUUCGGCAUAAUAGGGUUGUAGGAGCACGCUAUUUGAUGCUUUAUGAACUAGAAUCUACUGGAAAGUAGAACCAUAGAGGGUGACAGUCCCGUAAAGGUAAAGAGAGUUAUUAAUAGUGGUAUCCUGAGUAGCGCGGGGCACGUGAAACCUUGCGUGAAUU
This 427-nucleotide ribosomal RNA is filed under the name uncultured Flavobacteriaceae bacterium. RNAcentral describes it as "bacterial LSU rRNA". It matches the Rfam family "Bacterial large subunit ribosomal RNA", at positions 1 to 444 of the family's 2925-position model. Lineage: Bacteria; Pseudomonadati; Bacteroidota; Flavobacteriia; Flavobacteriales; Flavobacteriaceae. The record is from RNAcentral.